Molecule: ribosomal RNA, 484 nt
Filed under: uncultured bacterium
Lineage: Bacteria
Description: partial 16S ribosomal RNA
Rfam family: Bacterial small subunit ribosomal RNA
Source: RNAcentral
AUUGAACGCUGGCGGAAUGCUUUACACAUGCAAGUCGAGCGGCAGCGCGGCCUUCGGGCUGGCGGCGAGCGGCGAACGGGUGAGUAAUGCAUCGGAACAUGCCCAGUCGUGGGGGAUAACACUUCGAAAGAAGUGCUAAUACCGCAUACGUCCUGAGGGGGAAAGCGGGGGAUCGCAAGACCUCGCGCGAUUGGAGUGGCCGAUGUCAGAUUGGCUAGUUGGUGGGGUAAAGGCCUACCAAGGCGACGAUCUGUAGCUGGUCUGAGAGGAUGAUCAGCCACACUGGGACUGAGACACGGCCCAGACUCCUACGGGAGGCAGCAGUGGGGAAUUUUGGACAAUGGGGGCAACCCUGAUCCAGCCAUACCGCGUGAGUGAAGAAGGCCUUCGGGUUGUAAAGCUCUCUCGGCAGGAACGAAACGGUGGGCUCUAACAUAGUCCGCUAAUGACGGUACCUGAAGAAGAAGCACCGGCUAACUACGUG